CCGCGUGAGUGAAGAAGGUGUUUCGGAUGCGUAAGACUCUGUUGUAAGAGAAGAACGAGUGUGAGAGUGGAAAGUUCACACUGUGACGGUAUCUUACCAGAAAGGGACGGCUAACUACGUGCCAGCAGCCGCGGUAAUACGUAGGUCCCGAGCGUUAUCCGGAUUUAUUGGGCGUAAAGCGAGCGCAGGCGGUUAGAUAAGUCUGAAGUUAAAGGCUGUGGCUUAACCAUAGUACGCUUUGGAAACUGUUUAACUUGAGUGCAGAAGGGGAGAGUGGAAUUCCAUGUGUAGCGGUGAAAUGCGUAGAUAUAUGGAGGAACACCGGUGGCGAAAGCGGCUCUCUGGUCUGUAACUGACGCUGAGGCUCGAAAGCGUGGGGAGCAAACAGGAUUAGAUACCCUGGUAGUCCACGCCGUAAACGAUGAGUGCUAGGUGUGGGUCCUUUCCGGGACUCAGUGCCGCAGCUAACGCAUUAAGCACUCCGCCUGGGGAGUACGACCGCAAGGUUGAAACUCAAAGGAAUUGACGGGGCC
This 533-nucleotide ribosomal RNA is filed under the name Streptococcus australis. RNAcentral's name for it is "bacterial SSU rRNA". It matches the Rfam family "Bacterial small subunit ribosomal RNA", at positions 397 to 920 of the family's 1533-position model. Lineage: Bacteria; Bacillati; Bacillota; Bacilli; Lactobacillales; Streptococcaceae. The record is from RNAcentral.